AGAAAGAAAGAAAGAAAGAAAUUUUCCACUGCAGAAACUACCUUUUAAUUUCAAUUGCACUGAGGGUACCACACAAGCACACAACUUAAGGAUCAGUUUGCCUUUAACAAGAUAAUUUGUUAAUCAUAAGAUAAAACACAUUGCACUCAAAAAGCAGCAGGCAACUCAAACUGGACAAAAUGAAGGCAAACAAUUGCUCAACUUCACCCCCGAAAUGAAAAUAAAUUUGAAAAGUUAUAGCGAGAAUAACUUGCAAAGGUCAAAUAAGUUUGAGUCAAGCAUUUUAUUUAAUUAUUUAUCAAAGAAAAAAAAAUCCUUCGAUAUAAGU
RNAcentral lists this unclassified non-coding RNA (328 nucleotides) under Hevea brasiliensis (rubber tree). The record is from RNAcentral. Lineage: Eukaryota; Viridiplantae; Streptophyta; Magnoliopsida; Malpighiales; Euphorbiaceae.